AGUGAACGCUGGCGGUGGGCCUAACACAUGCAAGUCGAACGGCAGCACAGUAAGAGCUUGCUCUUACGGGUGGCGAGUGGCGGACGGGUGAGGAAUACAUCGGAAUCUACUUUUUCGUGGGGGAUAACGUAGGGAAACUUACGCUAAUACCGCGUACGACCUACGGGUGAAAGCAGGGGAUCUUCGGACCUUGCGCGAUUGAAUGAGCCGAUGUCGGAUUAGCUAGUUGGCGGGGUAAAGGCCCACCAAGGCGACGAUCCGUAGCUGGUCUGAGAGGAUGAUCAGCCACACUGGAACUGAGACACGGUCCAGACUCCUACGGGAGGCAGCAGUGGGGAAUAUUGGACAAUGGGCGCAAGCCUGAUCCAGCCAUACCGCGUGGGUGAAGAAGGCCUUCGGGUUGUAAAGCCCUUUUGUUGGGAAAGAAAAGCAGCAGGUUAAUACCCCGCUGUUCUGACGGUACCCAAAGAAUAAGCACCGGCUAACUUCGUG
Molecule: ribosomal RNA, 492 nt
Filed under: uncultured bacterium
Lineage: Bacteria
Description: partial 16S ribosomal RNA
Rfam family: Bacterial small subunit ribosomal RNA
Source: RNAcentral